This 612-nucleotide unclassified non-coding RNA is filed under the name Hevea brasiliensis (rubber tree). Lineage: Eukaryota; Viridiplantae; Streptophyta; Magnoliopsida; Malpighiales; Euphorbiaceae. The record is from RNAcentral.
CAGCAUGUGGGCAAGCUACUUUAUCAUCCUCCUUGUCGAAGGUUACAGGUGAUUGACAGAGUUCCUCUACUGCAAGUACUGUGUCUAAGCUGGCUAUUGACUUUCUCUUUUUGUCUGGUUUGGCAAGAUUAGGGCCUCCUACUAUUACAUUGAUUGUGCCAAUGGGUUCUUCAUCAUCAUGUCUCAAUUUAUGCUAAGAUCUUUUCCUCCUGUUUUUGUAAUGGUCGGAUCGAGUAUGGCUAGUGAAAUGCCUUAGUGUACUAUCCUUGACUAGCCUUUCAAUCUCAUCUUUCAACUGUACGUAUUCAUCAGUGUUGUGGUUGAAGUCAUCAUGAAAUCUACAAAAUUUGCUUUGGUCUCAUUUGUCUGCGACUCUACAAUUUAGCUUCCUUGGCUAUUUGCUUUUCUUUUGUAUCCACAUUAGCACUCAGGUCUAUGACUCAUUUAGGGGUGUAUAAUUUCUAUAUCUAUCGUGCCCUCUGUCCCUAUCUCCAGUAGAACUAUUUUGUCAUUUUGGCGUAUUGUCCGGGCUACUCUUCUUAUCCUCAAUUUUGAUUUCCUUGUCUAGCUUUAAUAGCUGCUUUUCAUCUUCUAGGUGGAUUUACUUUUAGG